RNAcentral lists this ribosomal RNA (250 nucleotides) under uncultured bacterium. RNAcentral's name for it is "partial 16S ribosomal RNA". It matches the Rfam family "Bacterial small subunit ribosomal RNA", at positions 524 to 773 of the family's 1533-position model. The record is from RNAcentral.
UACGAAGGGGGCUAGCGUUGUUCGGAUUUACUGGGCGUAAAGGGCACGCAGGCGGCCUGACAAGUCAGGGGUGAAAUCCCGGGGCUCAACCCCGGAACUGCCUUUGAAACUGUUAGGCUAGAGACCGAGAGAGGUGAGUGGAAUUCCUAGUGUAGAGGUGAAAUUCGUAGAUAUUAGGAGGAACACCAGUGGCGAAGGCGGCUCACUGGCUCGGUACUGACGCUCAUGUGCGAAAGCGUGGGGAGCAAAC